UACGUAGGGACCAAGCGUUGUUCGGAUUUACUGGGCGUAAAGCGCGCGUAGGUGGUUCGUUAAGUUGGAUGUGAAAUCCCCGGGCUCAACCUGGGAACUGCAUUCAAAACUGUCGAGCUAGAGUAUGGUAGAGGGUGGUGGAAUUUCCUGUGUAGCGGUGAAAUGCGUAGAUAUAGGAAGGAACACCAGUGGCGAAGGCGACCACCUGGACUGAUACUGACACUGAGGUGCGAAAGCGUGGGGAGCAAACAGG
Molecule: ribosomal RNA, 253 nt
Filed under: uncultured bacterium
Lineage: Bacteria
Description: partial 16S ribosomal RNA
Rfam family: Bacterial small subunit ribosomal RNA
Source: RNAcentral